Molecule: unclassified non-coding RNA, 164 nt
Filed under: Talaromyces cecidicola
Lineage: Eukaryota; Fungi; Ascomycota; Eurotiomycetes; Eurotiales; Trichocomaceae
Also listed under: 1 other name
Description: partial internal transcribed spacer 2
Source: RNAcentral
CUGCCCUCAAGCACGGCUUGUGUGUUGGGUGUGGUCCCCUCCCUGGCGGGGGGACCUGCCCGAAAGGCAGCGGCGACGUCGCGUCCGGUCCUCGAGCGUAUGGGGCUUUGUCACUCGCUCGGGAAGGACCUGCGCACGUCUGUCACAACUGUAUUUUUUACCAC